Molecule: ribosomal RNA, 429 nt
Filed under: Fusobacteriota bacterium
Lineage: Bacteria; Fusobacteriati; Fusobacteriota
Description: Fusobacteria bacterium partial 16S ribosomal RNA
Rfam family: Bacterial small subunit ribosomal RNA
Source: RNAcentral
UGGGGAAUAUUGCGCAAUGGGCGAAAGCCUGACGCAGCGACGCCGCGUGAGGGAUGAAGGUUUUCGGAUCGUAAACCUCUGUCAGAAGGGAAGAAACCGCACUGUGCUAAUCAGCAGUGCCUUGACGGUACCUUCAAAGGAAGCACCGGCUAACUCCGUGCCAGCAGCCGCGGUAAUACGGAGGGUGCAAGCGUUAAUCGGAAUUACUGGGCGUAAAGCGCACGUAGGCUGCUUUGUAAGUCAGGGGUGAAAUCCCACGGCUCAACCGUGGAACUGCCGUUGAUACUGCUUAGCUUGAAUCCGGGAGAGGGUGGCGGAAUUCCAGGUGUAGGGGUGAAAUCCGUAGAUAUCUGGAGGAACAGCAGUGGCGAAGGCGGCCACCUGGACCGGUAUUGACGCUGAGGUGCGAAAGCGUGGGGAGCAAACAGG